Molecule: ribosomal RNA, 451 nt
Filed under: uncultured bacterium
Lineage: Bacteria
Description: partial 16S ribosomal RNA
Rfam family: Bacterial small subunit ribosomal RNA
Source: RNAcentral
GUGGGGAAUUUUGGACAAUGGGGGGAACCCUGAUCCAGCCAUGCCGCGUGUGUGAAGAAGGCCUUUUGGUUGUAAAGCACUUUAAGCGAGGAGGAGGCUACCGAGAUUAAUACUCUUGGAUAGUGGACGUUACUCGCAGAAUAAGCACCGGCUAACUCUGUGCCAGCAGCCGCGGUAAUACAGAGGGUGCAAGCGUUAAUCGGAUUUACUGGGCGUAAAGCGCGCGUAGGUGGCCAAUUAAGUCAAAUGUGAAAUCCCCGAGCUUAACUUGGGAAUUGCAUUCGAUAAUGGUUGGGUAGAGUAUGGGAGAGGAUGGUAGAAUUCCAGGUGUAGCGGUGAAAUGCGUAGAGAUCUGGAGGAAUACCGAUGGCGAAGGCAGCCAUCUGGCCUAAUACUGACACUGAGGUGCGAAAGCAUGGGGAGCAAACAGGAUUAGAUACCCUAGUAGUCC